AUGUGUGGCGGUAUACCGGGAAACAUACAGGGAAGACGCCAGUAUGUCCUCACCCGGUUUUACUGACGUCUUCCAUUGUGAAGACACUCAGCAAUCGAAGGAGCCGUUCUCAUACACUGAUGAUGGGCUAAAUGAUAGUUUGGACGGGAGUUCAACUGAGUUGACCGAUGUUUUUGAGGAGGAAUUCUGUGAUGGUGAACUCUGGAUU
Molecule: long non-coding RNA, 208 nt
Organism: Sinocyclocheilus grahami
Lineage: Eukaryota; Metazoa; Chordata; Actinopteri; Cypriniformes; Cyprinidae
Exons: 3
Source: RefSeq, a predicted model, not a curated record